RNAcentral lists this ribosomal RNA (279 nucleotides) under uncultured bacterium. RNAcentral describes it as "partial 16S ribosomal RNA". It matches the Rfam family "Bacterial small subunit ribosomal RNA", at positions 506 to 784 of the family's 1533-position model. The record is from RNAcentral.
UGCCAGCAGCCGCGGUAAUACGAAGGGGGCUAGCGUUGUUCGGAAUUACUGGGCGUAAAGCGCACGUAGGCGGACUUUUAAGUCGGGUGUGAAAGCCCAGGGCUCAACCCUGGAACUGCAUUCGAAACUGGCAAACUGGAGUGUCGGAGAGGGUGGCAGAAUUCCCGGUGUAGAGGUGAAAUUCGUAGAGAUCGGGAGGAAUACCGGUGGCGAAGGCGGCCACCUGGAAGAUAACUGACGCUGAGACGCGAAAGCGUGGGGAGCAAACAGGAUUAGAUA